RNAcentral lists this ribosomal RNA (433 nucleotides) under uncultured bacterium. RNAcentral's name for it is "partial 16S ribosomal RNA". It matches the Rfam family "Bacterial small subunit ribosomal RNA", at positions 29 to 507 of the family's 1533-position model. The record is from RNAcentral.
AACGAACGCUGGCGGCAUGCCUAACACAUGCAAGUCGAACGAGAACUUCGGGACUUGUGGCGCCCGGGUUCGUCACGCGUGGGAACCUUCCCUUAGGUUCGGCAUACCUACUCGACAGGGAUGCUAAUACCGGAUAAUGUCUUCGGCCCAAAGAUUUAUCGCCUUUGUUGGGGCCCGCGUUGGAUUCGCUGGUUGGGAGGGUAAAAGGAUAUCAAGGCGCCGAUCAAUAAGUUGUCUGAGAGGCUGGUCAGCGACACCUGGAGUAGGACACGGUCCAGAAUCCUACGGGAUGCAGGAGUGGCUAAUGUUGCAAAGUGGGGUGAAUCCUGAUCCUGCAAUGCCCGGUGAAUUAUGAAGGCCUGGGGGUUGUAAAGCGCUUUUACCCGGGAUGAUAAUGACGGUACCGGGAGAAUAAGCCCCGGCUAACUCCGUG